UACGUAGGGGGCAAGCGUUGUCCGGAAUCAUUGGGCGUAAAGCGCGUGUAGGCGGUUCGGUAAGUCUGCUGUGAAAGUCCAGGGCUCAACCCUGGGAUGCCGGUGGAUACUGUCGAACUAGAGUACGGAAGAGGCGAGUGGAAUUCCCGGUGUAGCGGUGAAAUGCGCAGAUAUCGGGAGGGACACCAAUUGCGAAGGCAGCUCGCUGGGACGUCACUGACGCUGAGACGCGAAAGCGUGGGGAACAAACAGG
RNAcentral lists this ribosomal RNA (253 nucleotides) under uncultured bacterium. RNAcentral describes it as "partial 16S ribosomal RNA". It matches the Rfam family "Bacterial small subunit ribosomal RNA", at positions 524 to 776 of the family's 1533-position model. The record is from RNAcentral.